This 460-nucleotide ribosomal RNA is filed under the name uncultured bacterium. Its description in RNAcentral is "partial 16S ribosomal RNA". It matches the Rfam family "Bacterial small subunit ribosomal RNA", at positions 338 to 795 of the family's 1533-position model. The record is from RNAcentral.
CCUACGGGUGGCAGCAGUGAGGAAUAUUGGUCAAUGGGCGGGAGCCUGAACCAGCCAAGCCGCGUGCGGGAAGAAGGUACAGCGUAUCGUAAACCUCUUUUGUCAGGGGACAAAGGCGGGGACUAGUCCCCGGAUGAGGGUACCUGAAGAAAAAGCAUCGGCUAACUCCGUGCCAGCAGCCGCGGUAAUACGGAGGAUUCGAGCGUUAUCCGGAUUUAUUGGGUUUAAAGGGUGCGCAGGCGGCCUGUUAAGUCAGGGGUGAAAGGCCCGGGCUUAAACCCGGGCGGGCCGUUGAAACUGGCGGGCUGGAGAUGGAGAGAGGUACGCGGAAUGCGCGGUGUAGCGGUGAAAUGCUUAGAUAUCGCGCAGAACCCCGAUUGCGAAGGCAGCGUACCGGCUCCACACUGACGCUGAGGCACGAAAGCGUGGGUAUCGAACAGGAUUAGAUACCCCUGUAGUC